AUUGAACGCUGGCGGAAUGCUUUACACAUGCAAGUCGAACGGCAGCACGGGGGCAGCCCUGGUGGCGAGUGGCGAACGGGUGAGUAAUACAUCGGAACGUGCCCGGUCGUGGGGGAUAACGUAGCGAAAGUUACGCUAAUACCGCAUACGAUCUGAGGAUGAAAGCGGGGGACCUUCGGGCCUCGCGCGAUCGGAGCGGCCGAUGUCAGAUUAGGUAGUUGGUGGGGUAAAGGCCUAGCAAGCCGACGAUCUGUAGCUGGUCUGAGAGGACGACCAGCCACACUGGGACUGAGACACGGCCCAGACUCCUACGGGAGGCAGCAGUGGGGAAUUUUGGACAAUGGGCGCAAGCCUGAUCCAGCCAUUCCGCGUGCAGGACGAAGGCCUUCGGGUUGUAAACUGCUUUUGUACGGAACGAAAAGGCUCUGGCUAAUACCUGGGGCUCAUGACGGUACCGUAAGAAUAAGCACCGGCUAACUACGUG
This 484-nucleotide ribosomal RNA is filed under the name uncultured bacterium. RNAcentral's name for it is "partial 16S ribosomal RNA". It matches the Rfam family "Bacterial small subunit ribosomal RNA", at positions 30 to 507 of the family's 1533-position model. The record is from RNAcentral.